Molecule: ribosomal RNA, 530 nt
Filed under: uncultured Planctomycetota bacterium
Lineage: Bacteria; Pseudomonadati; Planctomycetota
Description: bacterial SSU rRNA
Rfam family: Bacterial small subunit ribosomal RNA
Source: RNAcentral
GACGGUAACCUACCCCAGGGCUGGCCAUAGCCGCGGGAAACCGCGGGUAAUAGUCAGCGACGUGGCCGGGGGGCAUCUCCUGGCCACCAAAGGUGUGAUUCCGCCCUGGGACGGGCCGUCGUGGUAUUAGGUAGUUGGCGGGGUAACGGCCCACCAAGCCUGUGAUGCCUACCGGGCGUGCGAGCGUGGCCCGGCACACUGGGACUGAGACACUGCCCAGACUCCUACGGGAGGCUGCAGUCGAGAAUCUUCGGCAAUGGGCGCAAGCCUGACCGAGCGACGCCGCGUGGAGGACGAAGGCCUUCGGGUUGUAAACUCCUGUCGAGGGGAAGGAAGGGCCGCUGCAGAGGCGGUCUUGACCGAUCCCUGGAGGAAGCACGGGCUAAGUUCGUGCCAGCAGCCGCGGUAAGACGAACCGUGCGAACGUUAUUCGGAAUCACUGGGCUUAAAGCGCGUGUAGGCGGGCCAGCACGUCGGGCGCUGAAAUCCCCCGGCUCAACCGGGGAGCGGGCACCGAUACGACUGGCCUG